GGGUGGGGAGGUGUUAGAGGCAUCUUCACAGCAGCACAGUGCCCAGAAUGCCAAAGAGCAGCAGGAUUGAUCCAGCAUCCUCUCCUGAUAAAAGAGGGCUAGAAGACCGGAGGCUCCAGGGAGUCUACUGGAGUCAUGAAGACACUGAAAAGUGAUGAAUCCACAUAACCAUGACACUGGAAAUGAAGUUUGAGUGGCAGUCGGAAUCUGGGAGGAAGCAUUGCUAAGUGAAAAUCUUACGGAGCUUGACUAAAUAUCCCUGUCAGGAACCGUCAAAAGCUGUGUCCCUGACAUGAAAAAUCUUGCUGGAAGUUGAGAGAGGUUUAUGCCUACUCCGUGAUCCGGGAACACAAGACCUUUACCAACCAAAAAAGUGGAUAGCUGUUCUUCUGCUGUGAAGGUUAAUAAAGGUAAACAUUAUAAUGGCCAGGGCUGGGGUUGAGGGAGAAAGAAGGAAGAAGAAAAGAAAGAAAGAGACAAAGGUAAUAAUAUUAGUAAAGGUA
RNAcentral lists this long non-coding RNA (503 nucleotides) under Pan troglodytes (chimpanzee). RNAcentral describes it as "long non-coding RNA NONPTRT014674". Lineage: Eukaryota; Metazoa; Chordata; Mammalia; Primates; Hominidae. The record is from RNAcentral.